GACGAACGCUGGCGGCGUGCUUAACACAUGCAAGUCGAACGGAAAGGCCCUGCUUUUGUGCGGUGCUCGAGUGGCGAACGGGUGAGUAACACGUGAGUAACCUGCCCUUGACUUUGGGAUAACUUCAGGAAACUGGGGCUAAUACCGGAUAGGAGCUCCUGCUGCAUGGUGGGGGUUGGAAAGUUUCGGCUGUUGGGGAUGGAUUCGCGGCUUAUCAGCUUGUUGGUGGGGUAGUGGCGUACCAAGGCUUUGACGGGUAGCCGGCCUGAGAGGGUGACCGGCCACAUGGGGACUGAGAUACGGAGCAGAAUGCUACGGGAGGCAGCAGUGGAGAAUAUUGCACAAUGGCGGGAAGCCUGAUGCAGCAACGCCGCGUGCGGGAUGCCGGCUUUCGGGUUGUAAACCGAUUUCGACUGUGACGAAGAGUGAGUGACGGUAAUGGGUAAAGAAGCACCGGCUAACUACGUG
This 468-nucleotide ribosomal RNA is filed under the name uncultured bacterium. RNAcentral's name for it is "partial 16S ribosomal RNA". It matches the Rfam family "Bacterial small subunit ribosomal RNA", at positions 28 to 507 of the family's 1533-position model. The record is from RNAcentral.